CCUACGGGAGGCAGCAGUGGGGAAUAUUGCGCAAUGGGCGAAAGCCUGACGCAGCAACGCCGUGUGAGGGAUGAAGGCUUUCGGGUCGUAAACCUCUGUCGGAAGGGAAGAACGGGCAUUGGUCUAAUAGGCCUUUGUUUUGACGGUACCUUUAGAGGAAGCACCGGCUAACUCCGUGCCAGCAGCCGCGGUAAUACGGAGGGUGCAAGCGUUAUUCGGAAUUACUGGGCGUAAAGCGCACGUAGGCCGCUUUGUAAGUCAGGGGUGAAAUCCCACGGCUCAACCGUGGAACUGCCCUUGAAACUGCAGAGCUUGAAUCCUGGAGAGGGUGGCGGAAUUCCUGGUGUAGGAGUGAAAUCCGUAGAUAUCAGGAGGAACACCGGUGGCGAAGGCGGCCACCUGGACAGGCAUUGACGCUGAGGUGCGAAAGUGUGGGGAGCAAACAGGAUUAGAUACCCUGGUAGUCCACACCGUAAGGCGAUGAACGCUAGGUGUCGGAC
RNAcentral lists this ribosomal RNA (500 nucleotides) under uncultured sulfate-reducing bacterium. Its description in RNAcentral is "bacterial SSU rRNA". It matches the Rfam family "Bacterial small subunit ribosomal RNA", at positions 338 to 828 of the family's 1533-position model. The record is from RNAcentral.